AAAGUACUCCCUCCGUCCCAAAAUUCUUGUCUUAGAUUUGUCUAGAUACGGUUGUAUCAAGUCACAGAUACAUCCGUAUCUAGACAAAUCUAAGACAAGAAAUUUGGGACAGAGGGAGUAGUUG
Molecule: non-coding RNA, 124 nt
Organism: Triticum aestivum (bread wheat)
Lineage: Eukaryota; Viridiplantae; Streptophyta; Magnoliopsida; Poales; Poaceae
Source: Rfam